CCUACGGGGGGCAGCAGUGGGGAAUAUUGCACAAUGGGCGCAAGCCUGAUGCAGCCAUGCCGCGUGUGUGAAUAAGGCCUUCGGGUUGUAAAGCACUUUCAGCGGGGAGGAAGGCGGUGAGGUUAAUAACCUCAUCGAUUGACGUUACCCGCAGAAGAAGCACCGGCUAACUCCGUGCCAGCAGCCGCGGUAAUACGGAGGGUGCAAGCGUUAAUCGGAAUUACUGGGCGUAAAGCGCACGCAGGCGGUCUGUCAAGUCGGAUGUGAAAUCCCCGGGCUCAACCUGGGAACUGCAUUCGAAACUGGCAGGCUAGAGUCUUGUAGAGGGGGGUAGAAUUCCAGGUGUAGCGGUGAAAUGCGUAGAGAUCUGGAGGAAUACCGGUGGCGAAGGCGGCCCCCUGGACAAAGACUGACGCUCAGGUGCGAAAGCGUGGGGAGCAAACAGGAUUAGAUACCCUAGUAGUC
This 465-nucleotide ribosomal RNA is filed under the name uncultured Klebsiella sp. RNAcentral describes it as "bacterial SSU rRNA". It matches the Rfam family "Bacterial small subunit ribosomal RNA", at positions 338 to 795 of the family's 1533-position model. The record is from RNAcentral. Lineage: Bacteria; Pseudomonadati; Pseudomonadota; Gammaproteobacteria; Enterobacterales; Enterobacteriaceae.